RNAcentral lists this long non-coding RNA (1611 nucleotides) under Panax ginseng (ginseng). Its description in RNAcentral is "long non-coding RNA (PGIN_LNC011359)". Lineage: Eukaryota; Viridiplantae; Streptophyta; Magnoliopsida; Apiales; Araliaceae. The record is from RNAcentral.
CCAAUAUUCUUAAACAUAAAACAGAAGACAUUAAGAGUGGCAAAGGCAAUCAGAAGCCUUUGGAAUUACAUUCAUAGUAUACAUAUUACAAUCUCUUCAGGAACUAUAAUCUUAAUAAAACAUCUCAUUACAACAAUAAAUAAAAUAUUCAAACGAUAACUUGAUGAAAAUUAGGUGGGGGCAUCUUAGAAUUCUUCAUGUCCACAAGUGACUUGAUGAAUGAUAGGCGCGAGUUAAUAUCUGGCUGAGCUGAAUAAUUCUCGUGCAUCUUUGCUCAUGAAAAUUGAGCAGGAAGAAUUCCAAAAUGGAGUAUUUGGAAGCUCACUCAAUAACUUGAUGUAUGCGGUUGGGGUAGGCACGAAUGACUCUUGUACAGGAUAUGUCAUUGUGGUUGCACUUCUGUUUAACAUGAUAUUUAACAUUGUAUCAAUUUGAUUGGAUAGAUGCUCCGGAUUUAUUACCUUUUUCUCUUCUUUUUUUACGUUACUGAGAUUCUCGUUUGAUGGCCUCUUUGAUUGGCUAUUUGAUGGCCCAAAAAACACCUCACGGACACGACUACCCUAACCACCGUUAUCUCCCAUCCCUAGAUUAUCACUAUCCCCACUACCCUCGCCACCAAUACCUCCACCAUAUUCAUCCCAAUUUGCAUAUCCUUGAGUUGAGCCUUAGUCAAUGUGUUUAUCUCCCCUCCCCCUACCCCUUCCGAUCCCCUUAUUCCUUCACUUUCCAUCUAAUUCAUAAACACCAAACACUAAUAUAACAUGAGACAUAACUCACACUACCAACAUCCAUAGUAUAACAUUAACAACCAUUAACAAACAAAACUUUGAUAAAGAACUAACAUUUACUUUUUAGAUUGACCUCUUAUAAUCCUAGAACUGAUAUUAAGAAAUAGUUUUUAAAAAAAUCACAUAGCUCAUACAUAACGUGUCAGUUAAAUCGAAUUUGAACAAGAAAAAUCUUAAUCAACCAUGCAAACAAAUGACAGUCAAAACAUAAAAUUGUCACAUACUAAACUUUUGAACACACGAAUCUUGUUUCAAACAGAGUUACUGAAAAUUACUAAAAAUUAAGCUCACAUAUUCCUAAAUAAGCACAAAAACAUUAGAACCACAUAAAUUAACAGCAAAUGGAACCAUUUGAAUCGAAACCCACACGCUCUGAAACUACAGUCAAAAUUAAAGAGGUAAAGAAGAAAAACCACAUACCAAAUAUUCAAACAUAACACAACACAUAUAUACAUAUCAAAUAUUUGGUCUAGGGUUUGGUACCUAACAGCAAUCGAAUGAGUAGCAGGAGUAACAGCCGCGGAGCGAAGGAGGGAGAAGCCAAGAAAUUGACGGAUCGAGCGCAGAGAGAGCAGAGCAGAGGCUUUUUUUAGGUUAAAGAGGAAAAGAGAUGUAAUUAGCAAGAUAGGAAAUAGGAGAGGAGUAACAAUUUAAUACUGGGAUACAGAUAAGGAAACUGCUCUGAAAUCUGAAUGCUCUUGUAAGUCAGUACUGAACAUGCCCUUAAUCAUAAAGAAAAAUCACGGUCCUGAAACAAGUAACAGGAUUAGUUUUAUUUAGCAAAAAAAAGGGCUGAUUGUUUAGAACAAAAUCUCAAUUGUUG